UACGUAGGGUGCAAGCGUUAAUCGGAAUUACUGGGCGUAAAGCGUGCGCAGGCGGCUAUGCAAGACAGAUGUGAAAUCCCCGGGCUCAACCUGGGAACUGCAUUUGUGACUGCAUGGCUAGAGUACGGUAGAGGGGGAUGGAAUUCCGCGUGUAGCAGUGAAAUGCGUAGAUAUGCGGAGGAACACCGAUGGCGAAGGCGGCUACCUGGCCCACUCUUGACGCUGAGGCGCGAAAGCUAGGGGAGCAAACGGG
This 253-nucleotide ribosomal RNA is filed under the name uncultured bacterium. Its description in RNAcentral is "partial 16S ribosomal RNA". It matches the Rfam family "Bacterial small subunit ribosomal RNA", at positions 524 to 776 of the family's 1533-position model. The record is from RNAcentral.